Molecule: long non-coding RNA, 371 nt
Organism: Lucilia sericata (common green bottle fly)
Lineage: Eukaryota; Metazoa; Arthropoda; Insecta; Diptera; Calliphoridae
Exons: 4
Source: RefSeq, a predicted model, not a curated record
CUGAGUUGCAGUAUUAUUAAACCUAAUCAAGAAUAUCUUGGCUCCUAUUCUUGUUAUUAUAGAAUCGGGAGUAUGUUGAAGAACAGUUAUGAUGUUUGCGGUGACUUAGUAACAACUUGGUCAGUCCAUCUACCUAGCGUAUAGUGACAAGUUCCAAAUGGUAUUUACCAUCUCCAUACAGAGAGGUCUAUAACCGACUUGCCUUAUGGAAUCUACUGACAGUUGAAUGAAAGGGUAUUGAUGAUUGGUUGAUGUGAAUCAAUGAUGUUGCUGGUAGUUUUUCUGUUUUGAUUGUUGACUCCUUGGAUCAGUUUAUGUACAUUUUUAAGUAAUAUGAAAUUAAUCAUAAGUCAAAUGUUCAAACUGUUCAA